AAAUACCUAUCUCUGUGGAGACUCAGCAGGUAUAGACAAUGAGAAUCUACUAUAUACAUAGCACAGCAGGACACACAUCCUUCAUAAGGGAGGUGCUGCACAACCCUCCUUCUCCCAGACCAGCACAUACCAGCAAUCCCACAAUGUACUUUCCAGAACGAGACUCCUGCCCUGUAAGCCCAGAGACACAGGUCCAAGGUUCUACAGGAUGAGGGUCGUAGGAAGAGGGAGCCUGCAAGUAUGUCAGCCAAGGCCUGUUCCAUACUCCCUAGUCCAAAUCCAACAAAAGGUGGAGAAAAGUUUUGUUGUUGUUGUUGUUGUUGUUUCCUUCUUUGGGCCUUUCUCUUUUGUUAGGUACUCGGAGUAACGGCUCCUAGUAUUUUUCAACUCUCAGAAUGCCAGGUUUAAUACACUGGACAUCCUGCAGGGAAGGCAGGAUGUACCAAGCUUAAAUAUUAGGCAGCUCUUUUUGAACAAAGAUAGAGCAAGUAGAGCCACAAAUCUUAACAAAUGCCAGAAAUACAUCAGAGAGAACCAUAAGGCUAUGCAAGAGACUUCGCUGGCUGCAGAGCGUGUGGCUAUGAGGUCUACAGCUGUCACGUGUGUCUUUCCAACCACACCCUCCAAGACUGGUGACACGGCACUGGGAGGCCUCUUAGAAUGGAGGACAGCAAAUAGAUACAAAUAGGACAGAGGGUAUUUGCUGGACAAAACAUAUUCUCUCUUAUUUUGUUAAACUAUUAUUAUGAUAAAUAAUACCAGGACCUCAGGAGUAAGUGACUUUUCACAUUUGUAGAAUAUGUUACGGCUUUUGUUGCUUACAUGAUCUCAGUUAAAUCUUACAAUAAGCCCAUGAGAAAGAUAGUUUUUACUAACAAUGGGGAAACUGAGGCAGCAGAGAAAGACUCGUGACAGAGCAGGGACUAGGACACAGGAACAACCCUGGCUUGACAAAGCCCUUUCCAAUAUAUCGUUAGAGCUGCAGGGAUGGGAGAAAGAAGGGAGGGAUUGAAAUAAAGGAGCACUACCAAGACCUGAAGAGCAGAUCCCAAUCCUAGUCUCAGGUUUAUUUCCCACAGACCUUGAAGCCCAGCCAGGGACCUUCACCCAUCUAACCCCGACUCGGCCACCACAAGAAUGUCUCCAGCUUGAGGACAGCUUCACUGGCCAAGUAGGACCCUUGUCAUCCAUAGAGAGGGGAUAGGGAGCCCAGAGACAGAGACACAGAAGGAGAAAUUAGCCACACUAGGAAUUCUCCAUCUACAAGUUAGUUUACAAAUGGUUACAGCUUCCUAAUCCUAUUCCUGAGAAUGCAGAUAAGCAACCCUACCCACAAGGGAGGACAAGGCUCUGCCUCAGAGAAGACCACUGUGAUAGUGACGGGAGUGUCACUGACGUAUCUCACUCUUGAGACAAGAUAUACCACAGCAAGCCCUAUACUCAGUUUCCUCCAGUUCUUCUCAUUUUUGAAUAUCAGUUUUUUCCCUCUCUUGGGUGCAGGAAGUCCUUUUCCAUCACACCCUUGGGAUCCUGACCCCCUGGGGUUUACUAAAAGUCUCAGCUCUGUGAGGCCUGCAGUAGCUCGUGGCUGUGGGGUGGGUAGGACUCCGUCUUCUCCCUGAUACUCUCACAGCUCUGAGAGCAUCACCUUUUCCCUAAAAGCUGAGGGCAUCCCGGUCCCUAUCCUUGGCCCUGUAACGGGGAGAAGCUCUGGGUCCACCAAAGACGGAUCUAAAGGAACAGUCCACAGAGUGAUAAAGGGUAUAUGAAAACUGGCGUUUUAGGCAAGAGCAAAAAAAGGUGGAGGGGCCGCGUGGGGAGGGCGGCAGAAGGGCACUGCUGGUAUGGGGCCAGGGCACCACGUGAAGACUCCUAGCAACGUUCCAAAACUGAAGAUGCAAAAGACCCUGAAAAUACGGUGGGAGGUGGAAAAGGGUCGGGGUCCCUCCCACUGGAAAAGCCCGGAAGAGCUGGCAGCCUCCUCUUGGGAGACGGAGUUGUGCAAUGACUGCGGGUCUGGGAGUCUCCGGGCUUGGCUCCCGGACACCAGAAAGGAAACCCCACUGGUCGGGCCAGAGUGGCAGUGCUGCGGUUGGUUCGAGGCCACGCGUAGGAUUCAGAGCUGCAGAGAGAGCUGCAGGAUAUGCUGCCAUGUUAUAAGGAUACUCAAGCAACUUUAUGGUGAGGUCUACAUGGCAAGGAACCAAGACCUCCUACCAAAAACCAACACUUACUUGCCAGGCUUGUGAGUGAGCCACCUUAGAAGCAGAUACUCCAGCCCUGGUCAAGCCUUCAGAUGACAGCAGUCCCAGCUGACCUCUUGACUGCAACCUCGUGAGAGACCCUGUGCCAGAACCAGCCAGUAAGUGGCUGCAACAGCACCAGGCAUUCUAUGCUUCAUACAAGACCCAAAAUUCAGACAAGAAGAGGAGGGGCAUUUUGAAGUGUGAAGAAAACUUUCCCAGAAACCCCGGAAUCCCUUAUGCCUCAUUGGCCAAAAUUGCAUCACAUGCCUGUUCCAAAACCAGUCAUUGGCAAGACGGAAAAGAAGGCCCAGAAACUUGCUGUAGCCAACAAGGAUUUAGUGAGUUGAGGGAGAAAGCAAUAAUUAUCAGAAUGGCACCUUCAUGAUGUAACGGGCCAUCACAUCGAGGAAAAUCUCAAUAGCAAGAACUCUGUGGAAAGAAGGUUUUCAUGAAACACUGUUAAUAGACUGCCCUGCCUGCCUUCCCAGGCGACUCUCUUCUAGACUGGGGUAAAAGAGACUUAAGAAAUGAGCAUGGCCGGCCUGAAGUAAACCACCUAAGGACAGGCAGAGGAAUCCAAGAAUCCCACUACCCCCAGGACAUGCCAGAAGAGGCAGCCAGAGGAGACACUGCCCAACUCAAGUCUUGAAGGACUGGUUUCCCUCAUUGCAGUAUAAGCACCUUGAGUGCAGGGAAUGAAUAAGUCAUUCUUUAUUGACCCUGCCAGAGUCAGUGCGUGCUGGUCAAAGUUAACAACUGCCCCUGGGAGCCUGGAGGGAGAAGCUCUGAUUUGCAGUGUUUUCCAUGUACAUACUGCCAUCAUGCCUGACUUCAAGCUCCCAAUGUGACAUUACCAAACAAGGAGUGGAAAAGAGAUGUGCAGAAGUACGGACCAGCUUGAAUGAUUUCAGGAUGCUUCUCAGUGGACCUCUUGAUUUGGUUCAAAAGACCAGAACCAUGGAAUACUCUACCACAGUGAGAAUGAACUACUCUAUGCAAAACCCAGACAAAUCUCACAAACAUAAUGUGGAGCAAAGGAAGGCAGACACAAAAGAGUACUGUGAAAUCCCAUUUAUAUCGAGCUCAAAAACAGACAGAAUCGAUCUGUAAUAUUAGAAGUCAGGAUAGUGGUUCCUUUGUUGUCCCUAGUGACUGGGAGGGGCAAGAGGGCUUCAGGGGUGCGAGUCAAGUACUAAUUCUUUGUCUGGGUCCUGCUUACACAGACGUAGACACACUGAGCUGUCCACUUAUGAUCUGUGCACGUCUCUGUAUAUUAUAUUUUAAGCAAAAGUUACCUUAAAAAAAGGAACCAGAAUGGAAUCUUGCGAAGUAAAUCUCGUGAAGGAAGAGUGAAUGAAUUCCUGUGUGUCAUCCAAAAAUAGCCUCUGCAGGUCAGUGAGGCAGGAUGGCACUAGCACCGGGCUAGGCGUCAGAAAACCUGAUAUCCAACCCCGCUUCUCUUAUUCGCUGGUGCAAGGGUCUUGGGAACGUAGCUUCCCCGCUUCUCACUUCCUCUGCUGCAGAACAAAGAGGUUGGAUUUGAUUAAAUGAUCUCAGAGAGAAGACUCCUUUCCCACCUGUUUCAGGGGAGAUGGAAGAGGAUUGAAUGUUCAUUUUGCCUCUCGUGUGAUUUUCUUAUAGAGGAAACAGUGCCAGUUGUAUUAUUAUUCUAUUACAUUCCAGUUAGGCUUGAUGAACUCACAGAUCAGUUUUCACGCUGUCAAAAUACAUAUACAUGUGUGUACACUCACAUAUACACACACAUAUAUGCACACCUAGGAGUAUUUGGCCCUCCCGGCAUCCUCUUAUUACCUGUCAUCAGCCUUGAAUUUCCCACUCAUCUCCCUCUUCACCUUCAUUUCCGCCGUCCUUGACCUUAGUGUGCACACAUCCUAGAGCCACCAUAUAAAGUGCCACACACUGGAUAGCUUAGAACAACUGAAAUUUGGGGGUCUCACAAUUCUGGAGGCCGGAAGCCCAAGAGCGAGUGUUGGUAGGGUCGUGCUCCCUCUGAGGACUCUCGCGCUCUAUCCCUCCAUUCUGGGUUCUGGUGGUCUCAGCUGUUCUAUGGCUUGAUUAACAAACACGAGAAGUGCUUGCAAUGGGGCCCAGCGCAGUUAGCAUGUGAUAAACAUUAGCUACGGGGACAAAACAUCAGAUAGUGUCACCUGCAUUUUACAGUUGAAGGAACUGAGGCACACAGGCUAGCACAAGGCUAACUCGAGGCAGAUCCAGAACUGAAACCCAGGUCUUCUGGGUUACUAGAACCCAGAUAACCUAACUGACUUGUUAGGUUAUCUGGCAUGACUCGCUGUCCAGUCUUCAGUAAUAAUAAUAAAGACGACAGCUACCUUUUACUGAGCAUUCACUAAAUGCCAGCUAAUUACCUAUUAGGAUGGUAUUAUCUCUGUUUUAGAGAAGUAUAAGUUGAGGACUAAAUAUUCAGAAAACAAAGCUGUAUCAGCCAGCAACUGAUGGGGAGCCAGGAUUUGAAUGCAGUUCUCUACAGCCCCUGAGUUUUUAACCACUUAUGCUCCAUAACCUCUGGAAAAUAAAAGACCAUUGUAGCUGCUUGCUCUAUAAAUGACUAAGAGUUGCCAGGACGAAUUGGGUGAUAUUUGUAAGUUCCCCAAGGAUCAGGAAGAAAGCCAUUUGUAACCAUCCUUCAUCCUUUACCCUGUGGCAUCAGGCACUGGACUCCCAUAGGUGUCUCGUAUGCUUCCAUGGAUGGAUUUGCUGAUCAGUCCCCCAGAGCUUAAGAAGCCAGGCACAAGAGUGGAGAGGCUAGAGGAGCCAGAUGAGCGUUUGAUAGCGAAGGCCAAGGCUGGGUGCCAGUAGGAUUGUCUGAUGCUAUCCAAGAGAUAGAGGAGGACCCAGUGCCAGAAACCAGAAGGAGCCAUGGUAUCCCAGCACAAAGACAUUGUGACACCUAUCACAUUUGUGAAAAGAAGAAAGAAAAGAAUGUUACUUCACACGGGGGCCACUAGUCCUAGAAAGGGGAAUGUUGAUUUUUGCGAGUGGUUUCAGAUGGCUGCCUGGGAACACCUUCCUAGUUUGAGAUUUCAAGCAAAGGCCAAAUGUUAGCAGCCAUUUGGGGGGCUUCGCCCAGGCUGGUGUGACAUAAAUGCUGAUGCACACACAUGGUGUGGCUGGCAGCUGAGACAGAUAGGACCAUUUAGGCUUCUGUCAUUUCUUUCUCAUCCUCUAUGGGCAGCUCCCCUGAUUAGGGUCAUCACCAAUCCCUGUGCCUUGUCUCUGGCUCCUGGGGCCACAUGGUGGACAAGCAAGGUUAAAUAAAUCAGUUGAGGCAGGGAAUAAAAGUAGGUAUGGUGGCAGAGAAGGGGGAGUGAGAUUAUUGUCAAUUUUUUUCCAACAGAAUUUGAAGAGCUUUGUCGAACACGAUUCUGUCUCUCAUGUCCCCCCACCGGGUGAAUAAUUUACUAUGGCUUAAGGGGCCACAAACACAACAGCCCUGACCCUGGAAUGGACUUUGAGAUGGAGGCAAAAUUAAGGGUUGCCCUCCUCCCUUGACUUCCAUUUGGACUGCCCUGCAACUCUCAGGGUAUUUAGAAGAUAAUACAUUAAGAGUUUUCCUAAAAGAACGAGGGCCGUGGCUUGCGCAAAAGGCGUUUACUUCCAUGAGGUGGGAUUUUUAUUGCUGGUUUCAACAUCAAGGAGGUGUGAACGUUAUGUACAAAUCCUGACAAUCAAUACCACCUGAGGAAGGCCAGGAAGCGGGUCCAUGGGCCAGUGCUUCUCACACUUCAGGUGCACAGUUUGGAAGCACCUGGGGUCUUGUGAAAAUGCAGAUUCUCAAUCAGGGGUCCAGACUGUGUUUCCAACAUGUCACUGCUCGUGAUAAGACCACUCCGGACUAAGAAAGACUCUUGUCCUUUUCUCGACAUUCUCCUAAACAAACACACCUCCUCCCACCAAAGUCAUAAAAUAAAAACAGGGAAAUUGCAUUUCCUGAAAAUGUUUUACAUAAUUCCCCAAAUUAGGAAGAAAUUGUGAUACUGUAUUUAGAAUUUUAAUCUGCCCUCCUCCGCCACCGAGAAUGGUCUCAUACUUGAUCAGGUCAGAGGGUAGGUCAAAGGAUGAGGAUUACAUGGAGAGUCUUGGGCAAUCUUAUAGAACAAGCAGAAAUGAUAGUAUUAAAACUACUUUUUUUUUUUUUUUGCUCUAAAAUACAUUAUUAAAGCUAGCUUUAACUGAUAUAGAUGUAUAAAAUUACUAGAUGAUUAAAGGCAAAUUUUAUUUAUUAUUUGUGUUUUUCUGUAUUUCUCAAAUUUUUUUACAAAUGAACUUGUGUUGCUUUUAUUUUUUAGAAGCUAAAUUUAAAACAUACUGUACUGUCAAAGUUCAUAGGCCUUUCCCUGGUGCUAGAAACCAGAAUGGAUUCUUUAACAUCUAGGGGCUGAUACUGUAUAUAUCGGUACACUCUGCAGAUAACUGAACCCAGACAGUCUUCUGGGGUUAAGGGGACCGAGACAGCGGAGCAUCUGUUUGGCACUGAAGGGAGGAGAGAGAGCGUCUAUGGAGGAGCACCCAUUCUCUGCCUCUUGACGUCAUACUGACCGCUUGCUAGCCCAAACAAGGGAAGUCAGCGGAAUUGUGGAGACAAAUGCCAAGGAUGGGACAUUUUCUUUGCCAUUCAUGGCUUGGACUAUGGGAUCAGAUUGCCUUGCAGCCCGCCCUGCACCAAACCUAGGACAUGACUACUCGUCAGUAAACUUGGUGGCAUGGUGACUGUCUCAUUUCCCAUAUUGUAUGGGCGGGCCCCUGACCAUCCCUCAUGGAAAGGAGAGAAAUUAGCUAAGUUGAGAGCGGCCUACUGUGACAAGGGGAGAUGACUUUAUAUAAGAGAGCAUGAGUUACUCAUCUAUACCAGGGGCGAGAAAGAGGACAUGGCUAAAAGGGGUCUAACAUGAGCAAGAAGCUGGGGGGACUCAGGUAGACAGGAAUCACCCCCAAACCCUGGCCAAGAGGCCAGGUGUUGAAGCACACCUACAGUCAACUUUGCUGGAUGCAAAGGUCAGCAGGGAGGGCAGUGGACAACGGUAGGGAUUGGAGCAUCCAGGGAUACUUCUUGGAUUCUAGAACCCCUCUAGUUUUAUGAAG
Pteropus alecto (black flying fox) is the source of this 7367-nucleotide long non-coding RNA. RefSeq lists it as uncharacterized. The transcript is spliced from 9 exons. The record is from RefSeq and is a predicted model, not a curated record. Lineage: Eukaryota; Metazoa; Chordata; Mammalia; Chiroptera; Pteropodidae.